Heterocephalus glaber (naked mole-rat) is the source of this 3016-nucleotide long non-coding RNA. Lineage: Eukaryota; Metazoa; Chordata; Mammalia; Rodentia; Bathyergidae. The record is from Ensembl.
CAGCUGGCGGGGCUCCGGGAAGCUAGUCCGGAGCGGAGGAAUCUAUUGUUAUUUAUUGUGUGGCGGUUGCAUGCUGUACUCGCGGCGGCCCGGCCCUCGCCUGGGAGUGCGUGUGUGCGCGCGUGUGUGCGCGAGUGUGUGUGUGCGCGGGGUGCGCGCGCGGGCGGGAGUAGGCACGCGCGGGGAAAGGCCCGAAAACACCUUAGUUUGCACCGAGAGACCAUUUGGAGCGGAACCCGAAAGUUUGCAAGAGGAAGAGAGCGCGCGGCGAGCGAGCGGGAAAGGGGUAGCGGCCGCGGCUCCGGGGACCAUGGUGCUGCGGAAGCCUCCUCCGCGGGCGUGAAGGCGGCGCUUCCACUCCCUCCCCGGGCUUCGAGGGAUGAGUCUGCUCUGGGAUCCUCUCCUGAGAUGGGCCUAGGCUGGGCUGCCUGUCCCUAGGCAAGAACAAAGAUCAUUUUAGGGGCAGGUGACUUAACAUCUCUGAGCCGCAAAUUCUUCCUUUGCAAAAGAGACAUACCUACAUCAGAGCACUGUCAUGAGAAGCCCAGUGAGGAAUUAUGGCAAAGACUGAAUGCUGUAUUGGCACGAAGGAAAUGUUGGAGAAACGGCAGCUAUUACUGUCAUCAUUGUGGCUGGCAGAUCCCCCUACUCCUACCUGAGGCUUAGGGCAGUAUUGUUAAGACUAAUUUAGUUCCCAGAAAAGAUGUGUUAAUUGGAUUAUUACAUUUUUCCUGUGUUUACACUAUAUGUACAUGCAUGACUUUGAAAUCUACACAGUUAUAUACUUAUCCAUUGAAUUCUCUCUUUUAAAAAUGUGUAAGAAUUGCAUUUUUGAGUCAUUGAACUAUAAUGAAAUUGUUUUUUCACAGAAAGAAUGUUACAAGUAAUCAUCAUAUAGGCCACCAAAAUGGAGAAUAAUGUAGAAAUGGAAGUUAAGAGAAAACCAAAAGAGAGACCUAAUGUUAAUACGUGGCCAGAAUGCAUAUUUUUAUAGCCUGAUUAUUUAAAAAUACUGGCGUUUGCUUGUACUGUUUAGGGUUGGAUGAUACAAAUGAAGCUGUUUGGGAUUGGAAUAAAUAUUUUUUUGACUAAUGCUAUAACUUGUAGACUUGUAAUCAGGAGUGGCUUAUCAGCAGCUUUUCAAAAUGUGACAUUGUACAUGGAAUGCCCCCAUGGAGGAAAUUGAACGCUCUGUUAAUGCUUUUACAGUUGAAUUCCACACACAUGAAUUAUGACAAGUGAGGCUGACUACAUUGUGGUUUGUUGUGUCUGGUCUGGUUCCUACUUUUAAAGUUGCAGUUGCAUUUGGUCAUUUGAAGCUUAUUUUCACAGUCUGGCCAAGCCAGCAGGGUCUCAGGUCUCUGCAGGGGACAUAAACCGCCUGCCUUUAAGUUAGAGUGCUCAGUAGAUAAGCAUUUCAAGACUUCAUUGCAUCAUACAAAAGGACUUAUGGGCUUAUUUAACAUACACUAUUUGACUUAAUUUAGAUAUUUAAUGGAAAGAAAAGCCUUUUAUUAUCACCAAAGGAAAGAACUGCCAAACAUUUGGAGGCUCAGUUGAAAUAUUGUAACGGAUGUACAGAGUGCAAAUAUAUUUCACUGCCUUACAUAAUGGGGUGUUUAAUAAUAGUUGUUUCUUUAAAUUUAGCACAUGUAUCUCAGACAUUUGCACUUUGUAAAUUAUAUGCUGUGGUUCAAGAAACUCAAUUUUUAAGAAAUUUGUUUUAAUGAAGUAUAUACUCAUAUUUUAAAAUGACCUUCAACUUUGGUUUAUGUUUAUUUCAUGAGCCCAGAUUUGAGGAGUCCAUGCCAGGAAUGAACACUUUCCAUCCUAUCUUUUUUAGUAACAUGAGUAUGAGCAACAGCUGGGUUUGCUGAUCUGAUUGGCCAAGGCGUUCUUGAAUGUGUCACUUGGUAGGCAUCAGUCCCCUCUGCCAGUCAGGGCCAAGGAGCAGUGGGGUGGUUACCUAUGGUCCUGGUGGAGGGGCUACACAUGGAGGUCUAGAAGGAAGCUUUUCCACCUGGUCGCAGUUUUGUGACUGUCUUCUAGAUGCACUGUGCUAGGUAUUAUGGCCAGAGCCCAGGAUCCACUGAUUCUCCAUUUGGGGUCUGCUCCUACUCUUCCAGGAGCUGAGGGACCUUUAUGGGUUAAAUAUUGGUCCCCUCCCUCUCAAAAUCGUAUUGGGCCCCUAACCCCUACUACUACCUCAGAAUGUGACUAUAUUUGGAGAUAGGGUCUUUAGAUUGGCAAUUAAGAUAAAAUGAAGUCAUUAGGGUGAAUCCUGAUGCAGUAUGAAUGGUGUCUUUAUGAGAAGAGACAAGGACACAGACACACAACACACACGCACACACACACAGGACAACCACUUGAAUACAGGGAGAAGAUGUCCACCUACAAGCCAGUGAAGAGGCAGGGCCUAGAAGGAAUCACCCAGCCAACACUUUGAGUUUGAACUUCUCACCUCCAGAACAAUGAGAUGAUAAAUUUCUGUUGUUUGAGCCAUUGGUGUGGGGUACGUUGUUAUGGCAACUAGAUGUAGGAGCAAAUCAGAAUCUACCUCAGGGCACAUGCCAUUUGAAAAGUCUAUUCCAUAUUAUAAUACAGUCUUUAAAUAUAGAAAUGAAGGCAAGAAAACCUUUAUGGGGAGAAAACCUAAAAGAUGGACAAAUUCCAUACACAGAGCCAUAUUAGCAAAUUCUGAAGUAGUAAUUGCAGGUGACAUUGAACACUCACAGUGGGCUGGAUUUGUAUCUGAGGUCCUGCAAGUAUUACCUCUUUUAGUCCUCAGCACAUUCUGUGUACUAGGGGCUGUUGUCAUCUCUGACAUGACAGUGAGGGACACUGAGGCAAAGGAGGUUAGUGACAUCCUUGAUACUUUGGAGCCAGCCAGCUGGGAUGCAUAGCAAGGCACCAGCCCCUAGAGCUCAUCCCAGCUGUUGCUUUGCAGCCCUGUGAGAUUGGAGUGGGUGAGAGGAGGCCUGGCUUGGAGAAUCAGAUCUGAGUAUUGGUGAGCAGA